Molecule: long non-coding RNA, 914 nt
Organism: Spinacia oleracea (spinach)
Lineage: Eukaryota; Viridiplantae; Streptophyta; Magnoliopsida; Caryophyllales; Amaranthaceae
Exons: 3
Source: RefSeq, a predicted model, not a curated record
CAACGCGGGUCAAACCCUUUAAAGGGUUAUCGCAGCGUACAUUUUAGUUGUUCGCAGCAAAUGUGUUUGUUGCAGCGUACAAAAUAAAAGCCCGCAGCAACAACCCUUUUUGUUGCAGCGUACAAUUUAAAAGCCCCCUGCAAUAACCGGAUAAAAAAAUUUCAAAACAAUUUAAGCCGCAUCUCAAAAAAUUUUCUCGCUGUCCUUUCUUCUUCGCGUGCCUUUCCCUACGUCGUCUCCUAAAGACAAACCCUAAGCCGGUCCUUUCUUCUUCGCGUGCCUUUCCCUGCGUCAUCUCAAAUUUCGAACACUCUUUCUCUUCGUUCCUCUGCAUCGCCGGCCACCACCUCCUUCAUGCCGACGCUGCUGGGUGGUUGCGAUGGUUAUUGCGUUGUUGUGGUUGAUGGUGUUGUCCUGCCUCCGUGCUCGGCUUUCCUCUGCUUGUCGCCGCCAAUAAUGGUGGCCUACCAACACAACAUCAUUUGUAACUAAUUGGUGACUACUAGCUAGCGCCGUCCAAUUAGGGUGGGGGAUUAGAUCUUGCAAGAAAGGCUUCGUCGGAGAUUCCAAUUUUAUGCCCGCCAGGGAACUCGGGGUCGCCUCUCUCUUCGUUUGAGCCGCCGCUACCGCCUUCUUUGCCGCCCUUAACGCCUCCGGCAUCCACAGUGUCUACACUCCGAGGAUUGCGCCUUAUGCGAGGAAUUUGAUGUGGUUCGUGAGCAAUGGGCUAAGUUUUUUACCAACAAGUAUUUAUUAUUGGCUUUAGCGCGCUUGAUCGAGUUGGUUUAGUUGUUAUAGAAUAAAUUUUAUAUUAAAAUGUAUGUUUAUGUUGAAAUUGGAACAUAUAUUUAAAUGUAAUAUGUGCACUUUGGUUUUGGGAUAUAUAGUAUACAAAACUCCAGUUGUUGUUUUUA